GGGCCUAAGGUGAGGGCGAGAGCCGUAGCCGAUGGACAACAGGUGGAGAUUCCUGUACUAUGAUAUGACAGAACUGUGGGGACACGUGCAGAGAGCGGAAGCCGGGAAUGGAAUCCCGGUGCAAGCGAGGUACCAGUCACAUUGGAAAAACCGUGUGGCAAUGGGAAGACGUGAUGCGGAGUGAAAAAUAGUAACGAAGUCCGUGAGCUGUGCGUCAAGAAAAGCCGCUAUUGUUCAUACCAUACCCGUACCGUAAACCGACACAGGUGGAUGAGGAGAGGAUCCUAAGGCCGGCGGAAGAAGCAUUGUCAAGGAACUCGGCAAAAUGACCCCGUAACUUCGGGAGAAGGGGUGCCACUGAAAAGUGGCCGCAGAGAAUAGGCUCAAGCAACUGUUUAGCAAAAACACAGGUCUAUGCGAAACCGUAAGGUGAGGUAUAUGGGCUGACGCCUGCCCGGUGCUGGAAGGUUAAGAGGAGAGGUUAGCGCAAGCGAAGCUUUGAAUUUAAGCCCCAGUAAACGGCGGCCGUAACUAUAACGGUCCUAAGGUAGCGAAAUUCCUUGUCGGGUAAGUUCCGACCCGCACGAAAGGCGUAAUGAUUUGAGCGCUGUCUCGACAAUGCAUCCGGUGAAAUUGAAGUACCAGUGAAGAUGCUGGUUACCUGCGCCAGGACGGAAAGACCCCAUGGAGCUUUACUCCAGUUUGGUACUGGGAUCCGGUACUGCAUGUACAGGAUAGGUGGGAGGCUGUGAUGUAGUAACGCCAGUUAUUACGGAGCCGCUGUUGGGAUACCACCCUUGCAGUAUUGGGUUUCUAACCAGCCGCCGUGACCCGGCGGUGGGACAAUGCCAGACGGGGAGUUUGACUGGGGCGGUCGCCUCCGAAAGGGUAUCGGAGGCGCCUAAAGGUUCCCUCAGAAUGGACGGAAACCAUUCGAAGAGUGCAAAGGCAGAAGGGAGCUUGACUGCGACACCGACGGGUGGAGCAGGUACGAAAGUAGGGCUUAGUGAUCCGGUGGUAUUAAGUGGGAAUGCCAUCGCUCAACGGAUAAGAGCUACCUGGGAUAACAGGCUUAUCACUCCCAAGAGUUCACAUCGACGGAGUGGUUUGGCACCUCGAUGUCGGCUCAUCGCAUCCUGGGGCUGUAGUAGGUCCCAAGGGUUGGGCUGUUCGCCCAUUAAAGCGGUACGCGAGCUGGGUUCAGAACGUCGUGAGACAGUUCGGUCCCUAUCCGGCGUGGGCGUAGGAUAUCUGAGAGGAGCUGUCCUUAGUACGAGAGGACCGGGAUGGACGGGCCGCUGGUGCACCGGUUAGACUGCCAAGUCUAUAGCCGGGUAGCCAAGCCCGGAAGGGAUAAACGCUGAAGGCAUCUAAGCGUGAAGCCCCCCUCAAGAUGAGAUAUCCCAUCCGAAAGGAGUAAACCCCCUUGAAGACGACGAGGUUGAUAGGGCAGGGGUGGAAGUAUGGUAACAUAUGGAGCUGACUGCUACUAAUAGGGUGAGGGCUUGACC
This 1511-nucleotide ribosomal RNA is filed under the name metagenome. RNAcentral's name for it is "bacterial LSU rRNA". It matches the Rfam family "Bacterial large subunit ribosomal RNA", at positions 1387 to 2925 of the family's 2925-position model. The record is from RNAcentral.